UCCCAAUGAAGAAGACAACACCUAUUUUAUUCCUUAAGCUUUUCUCAGAACUUGUAAAAGUUGAACUCACUGAACUAAGCUAAGAAGCAGGAGGAGACUCUGUUCCAGAGAGGAAAGACUGAGAAGC
Molecule: small nucleolar RNA, 127 nt
Organism: Antechinus flavipes (yellow-footed antechinus)
Lineage: Eukaryota; Metazoa; Chordata; Mammalia; Dasyuromorphia; Dasyuridae
Product: small nucleolar RNA SNORD22
Exons: 1
Source: RefSeq, a predicted model, not a curated record